Molecule: ribosomal RNA, 301 nt
Filed under: uncultured bacterium
Lineage: Bacteria
Description: partial 16S ribosomal RNA
Rfam family: Bacterial small subunit ribosomal RNA
Source: RNAcentral
CAGUCGCCGCGGUAAUACGAAGGGGGCUAGCGUUGUUCGGAAUUACUGGGCGUAAAGCGCACGUAGGCGGAUAUUUAAGUCAGGGGUGAAAUCCCGCAGCUCAACUGCGGAACUGCCUUUGAUACUGGGUAUCUUGAGUAUGGAAGAGGUUAGUGGAAUUGCGAGUGUAGAGGUGAAAUUCGUAGAUAUUCGCAGGAACACCAGUGGCGAAGGCGGCUAACUGGUCCAUAACUGACGCUGAGGUGCGAAAGCGUGGGGAGCAAACAGGAUUAGAUACCCGCGUAGUCCCUGUCUCUUAUCC